UGUUAGUAAAUAGCUGCCUUGUAUUAGAAGUUGUUGUUUCCUUCACUAACGUCUGGAUCGGGAGAACAUUGAGCUGGUCAGGCCUGUAUGAACAACCAUGAGAUCACUGUUCAGUCAACGAACUCUAGACCAGCUGCGGCCCUGGAUGAUAAUAGCGGCGGUUUUGGGAUUAACAUUCUUUCUUCUCUGGCUGCGUGAUGAACCUACUAAACCAAUUUUUCCAUAGCCGACGCCUUUUAAUCGGACAUGGUGGGACGCUAAGUCAUAUCCGAAACAGAUGGGUCUACCCGAUUGUCAUACACCUGGUGCCAGCAGAUAUAAUAUAAGUCUUCUAAAUACUCGAAAGAAAGCAUUGGAUGUUCCGGAUGGACCACCCCCGGACAGGAACGAGCUUUGCAGUAUGUCCUUCCAAGAUCUGGAGAUGUACUACCACACGUGCGUCACAAAAUGUUUUGCGAGGUUGAGUAAUUCAUGUAAAUGAUCCGGCUGCCUAUUCGAGAAAAUUGUUACUGGAAUUGGAAGAAAGUUUAACAAUGGCUCAUACUAGAUAUUUUAUCAUAUUUGUACACAAUACAGACAGUGACGUUUUAAUUGAUAAAACUGCAUAAUAUGAAAUGGAAAAUGCAAUUUCAAAUUUGUAUGUAGAAAAUUGAUUAGGAAUUAUUAUCAAUACGAUAGUUUUGAGUCGGCCAAACAAUUUUUGAUAUUUCUUUUAUUACG
Molecule: long non-coding RNA, 720 nt
Organism: Pecten maximus
Lineage: Eukaryota; Metazoa; Mollusca; Bivalvia; Pectinida; Pectinidae
Exons: 3
Source: RefSeq, a predicted model, not a curated record